Molecule: ribosomal RNA, 305 nt
Filed under: uncultured bacterium
Lineage: Bacteria
Description: bacterial SSU rRNA
Rfam family: Bacterial small subunit ribosomal RNA
Source: RNAcentral
UUUGCCUACGGGGGGCAGCAGUGAGGAAUAUUGGUCAAUGGUCGGGAGACUGAACCAGCCAAGCCGCGUGAGGGAGGAAGGUACAGAGUAUCGUAAACUUCUUUUGUCAAGGGACAAAAUCAGGCUCGAGAGCCUGACCGAGGGUACUUGAAGAAAAAGCAUCGGCUAACUCCGUGCCAGCAGCCGCGGUAAUACGGAGGAUGCGAGCGUUAUCCGGAUUUAUUGGGUUUAAAGGGUGCGUAGGCGGACUGUUAAGUCAGCGGUAAAAGCCCGGGGCUCAACCCCGGCGAGCCGUUGAAACUGGC